GGAUAGCUAGCAAUCUUUCUUCCUUUAAGUCAUCCAUUUCAUCUUCACACCUCAUCCUUGGUGUGGAGACUUAGAGACACUAAAUCUUUGGUGUUCUUGGAAAUCAUUUCCUCACAUCCUCAAGGAGCAAAGGAGUAUCAAAAGGAAGAAAAACACAAGGAAGAUCUAAGGAGCUAGGAGGUGACUUGAAGGCCCUCCACUUGGGUGAAUCCCUUGUGUAAACAAGGAUGAGCU
This 234-nucleotide long non-coding RNA is filed under the name Malus domestica (apple). Its description in RNAcentral is "long non-coding RNA (MDOM_LNC020339)". Lineage: Eukaryota; Viridiplantae; Streptophyta; Magnoliopsida; Rosales; Rosaceae. The record is from RNAcentral.